RNAcentral lists this ribosomal RNA (764 nucleotides) under Kuettlingeria atroflava. RNAcentral describes it as "LSU rRNA". It matches the Rfam family "Eukaryotic large subunit ribosomal RNA", at positions 165 to 944 of the family's 3401-position model. Lineage: Eukaryota; Fungi; Ascomycota; Lecanoromycetes; Teloschistales; Teloschistaceae. The record is from RNAcentral.
CGGGCGCGGCGCCGGUCUAAGUCUCUUGGAACGGGGCGUCAUAGAGGGUGAGAAUCCCGUAUGUGACCGGUGACCAACCCUAUGUGAAACUCCUUCGACGAGUCGAGUUGUUUGGGAAUGCAGCUCAAAAUGGGUGGUAUAUUUCAUCUAAAGCUAAAUACCGGCCAGAGACCGAUAGCGCACAAGUAGAGUGAUCGAAAGAUGAAAAGCACUUUGGAAAGAGAGUCAAAAAGAUACGUGAAAUUGUUGAAAGGGAAGCGCGCGCAACCAGACCUGAACGCGGCCGAUCAACCCUACUUGUGGGCGGUGCACUCGACCAAGAGCAGGCAAACAUCAGCUCGGGCGGCCGGAUAAAGGCCCUGGGAACGUAGCUCCUUUCGGGGAGUGUUAUAGCCCAGGGUGUAAUGCGGCUCGCCUGGACCGAGGACCGCGCUUCGGCUAGGAUGCUGGCGUAAUGGUUGUGAGCGGCCCGUCUUGAAACACGGACCAAGGAGUCUAACAUCUAUGCGAGUGUUUGGGUGUCAAACCCAUGCGCGUAAUGAAAGUGAACGGAGGUGGGAACCCUUUCGGGGGCGCACCAUCGACCGAUCCAGAUGUCUUCGGAUGGAUUUGAGUACGAGCAUAGCUGUUGGGACCCGAAAGAUGGUGAACUAUGCCUGAAUAGGGUGAAGCCAGAGGAAACUCUGGUGGAGGCUCGCAGCGGUUCUGACGUGCAAAUCGAUCGUCAAAUUUGGGUAUAGGGGCGAAAGACUAAUCGAACCAUU